Molecule: ribosomal RNA, 490 nt
Filed under: uncultured bacterium
Lineage: Bacteria
Description: partial 16S ribosomal RNA
Rfam family: Bacterial small subunit ribosomal RNA
Source: RNAcentral
AUUGAACGCUGGCGGCAGGCCUAACACAUGCAAGUCGAACGGUAACAGGAAGCAGCUUGCUGCUUCGCUGACGAGUGGCGGACGGGUGAGUAAUGUCUGGGAAGCUGCCUGAUGGAGGGGGAUAACUACUGGAAACGGUAGCUAAUACCGCAUAAUGUCGCAAGCCCAAAGAGGGGGACCUUCGGGCCUCUUGCCAUCGGAUGUGCCAAGAUGGGAUUAGCUUGUUGGUGGGGUAACGGCUCACCAAGGCGACGAUCCCUAGCUGGUCUGAGAGGAUGACCAGCCACACUGGAACUGAGACACGGUCCAGACUCCUACGGGAGGCAGCAGUGGGGAAUAUUGCACAAUGGGCGCAAGCCUGAUGCAGCCAUGCCGCGUGUAUGAAGAAGGCCUUCGGGUUGUAAAGUACUUUCAGCGGGGAGGAAGGGAGUAAAGUUAAUACCUUUGCUCAUUGACGUUACCCGCAGAAGAAGCACCGGCUAACUCCGUG